UACGUAGGGGGCGAGCGUUGUCCGGAAUUAUUGGGCGUAAAGAGCACGUAGGCGGUUUUCCAAGUCAGGUGUGAAAACCCGGGGCUCAACUCCGGGAGUGCAUAUGAAACUGGAAGGCUUGAGGACAGGAGAGGAGAGUGGAAUUCCUAGUGUAGCGGUGAAAUGCGUAGAUAUUAGGAGGAACACCAGUGGCGAAGGCGACUCUCUGGCCUGUAACUGACGCUGAGGUGCGAAAGCUAGGGGAGCGAACGGG
RNAcentral lists this ribosomal RNA (253 nucleotides) under uncultured bacterium. RNAcentral's name for it is "partial 16S ribosomal RNA". It matches the Rfam family "Bacterial small subunit ribosomal RNA", at positions 524 to 776 of the family's 1533-position model. The record is from RNAcentral.